Molecule: ribosomal RNA, 417 nt
Filed under: uncultured bacterium
Lineage: Bacteria
Description: bacterial SSU rRNA
Rfam family: Bacterial small subunit ribosomal RNA
Source: RNAcentral
GAGUUUGAUCGUGGCUCAGGACGAACGCUGGCGGCGCGCCUAACACAUGCAAGUCGAACGGAGCUGUUUUCUCUGAAGUUUUCGGAUGGAAGAGAGUUCAGCUUAGUGGCGAACGGGUGAGUAACACGUGAGCAACCUGCCUUUCAGUGGGGGACAACAUUUGGAAACGAAUGCUAAUACCGCAUAAGACCACAGUGUCGCAUGGCACAGGGGUCAAAGGAUUUAUCCGCUGAAAGAUGGGCUCGCGUCCGAUUAGCUAGAUGGUGAGGUAACGGCCCACCAUGGCGACGAUCGGUAGCCGGACUGAGAGGUUGAACGGCCACAUUGGGACUGAGACACGGCCCAGACUCCUACGGGAGGCAGCAGUGGGGAAUAUUGCACAAUGGGGGAAACCCUGAUGCAGCGACGCCGCGUGGA